Non-coding RNA from Salmo salar (Atlantic salmon), 72 nucleotides. The record is from Rfam. NCBI's taxonomy places the organism in Eukaryota, Metazoa, Chordata, Actinopteri, Salmoniformes, Salmonidae.
GCCGUGAUCGUAUAGUGGUUAGUACUCUGCGUUGUGGACGCAGGAACCCUGGUUCGAAUCCGGGUCACGGCA